AAAGUGGUGGUUUAAUUAGGCAGCCCAUCAGGUUUUUGUUGAACUUGAAGAGCACUGGCUCGUUAUCCUUCCACUGCACAGAGCGGGAGCUGUUCGUUGCUCUGUGAAACCAGCCUCACGCAGUCCACCCCACUGUAAGAGCCAAGCAGCCCAUACUUUCGUCUGGACCACGUGACUCAACUCCGUGCUUGGAUAGGGCAGGCCAGACUAAUGCCAACCAAAGUCCAGCCAUCAAGAAC
Molecule: long non-coding RNA, 239 nt
Organism: Solanum stenotomum
Lineage: Eukaryota; Viridiplantae; Streptophyta; Magnoliopsida; Solanales; Solanaceae
Exons: 2
Source: RefSeq, a predicted model, not a curated record